GACGAACGCUGGCGGCGUGCUUAACACAUGCAAGUCGAACGGAAAGGCCUGCUUUCCCUUGUGGUUUGCGGGUACUCGAGUGGCGAACGGGUGAGUAACACGUGAGUGAUCUGCCCCCAACUUGGGUAUAAGCCUGGGAAACUGGGUCUAAUUCCCGAUAGGACUGCAGGGUGGUGCCUGUGGUGGAAAACGAUUUUCUAGUGGUUGGGGAUGAGCUCGCGGCCUAUCAGCUUGUUGGUGGGGUAAUGGCCUACCAAGGCGGCGACGGGGAGCCGGCCUGAGAGGGUGGACGGCCACAUUGGGACUGGGAUACGGCCCAGACUCCUACGGGAGGCAGCAGUGGGGAAAAUUGCACCAUGGGCGGAAGCCUGAUGCAGCGACGCGGCGUGGAGGAUGACGGGCUUCGGGUUGUAAACUCCUUUCGACCGCGAGGAAGCCACCUGGUUGGAAGGGUGGUGACGGUAGUGGUAGAAGAAGCACCGGCUAACUACGUG
This 494-nucleotide ribosomal RNA is filed under the name uncultured bacterium. Its description in RNAcentral is "partial 16S ribosomal RNA". It matches the Rfam family "Bacterial small subunit ribosomal RNA", at positions 28 to 507 of the family's 1533-position model. The record is from RNAcentral.